UACGGGGGGAGCAAGCGUUGUUCGGAUUUACUGGGCGUAAAGGGCGCGUAGGCGGUCGUGACAAGUCACUUGUGAAAUCUCCGGGCUUAACUCGGAACGGUCAAGUGAUACUGUCGGACUAGUGUACAGAAGGGGCAACUGGAAUUCUCGGUGUAGCGGUGAAAUGCGUAGAUAUCGAGAGGAACACCUGCGGCGAAGGCGGGUUGCUGGGCUGAUACUGACGCUGAGGCGCGAAAGCCAGGGGAGCGAACGGG
RNAcentral lists this ribosomal RNA (254 nucleotides) under uncultured bacterium. RNAcentral's name for it is "partial 16S ribosomal RNA". It matches the Rfam family "Bacterial small subunit ribosomal RNA", at positions 524 to 776 of the family's 1533-position model. The record is from RNAcentral.